UCGGGAUAGCUCAGCUGGUAGAGCAGAGGACUGAAAACC
This 39-nucleotide transfer RNA is filed under the name Dialium guianense. RNAcentral's name for it is "partial tRNA-Phe". The record is from RNAcentral. Lineage: Eukaryota; Viridiplantae; Streptophyta; Magnoliopsida; Fabales; Fabaceae.